RNAcentral lists this ribosomal RNA (272 nucleotides) under uncultured Staphylococcus sp. Its description in RNAcentral is "partial 16S ribosomal RNA". It matches the Rfam family "Bacterial small subunit ribosomal RNA", at positions 90 to 355 of the family's 1533-position model. Lineage: Bacteria; Bacillati; Bacillota; Bacilli; Caryophanales; Staphylococcaceae. The record is from RNAcentral.
CGUUAGCGGCGGACGGGUGAGUAACACGUGGGUAACCUACCUAUAAGACUGGGAUAACUUCGGGAAACCGGAGCUAAUACCGGAUAAUAUUUCGAACCGCAUGGUUCGAUAGUGAAAGAUGGUUUUGCUAUCACUUAUAGAUGGACCCGCGCCGUAUUAGCUAGUUGGUAAGGUAACGGCUUACCAAGGCGACGAUACGUAGCCGACCUGAGAGGGUGAUCGGCCACACUUGAACUGAGACACGGUCCAGACUCCUACGGGAGGCAGCAGCA